AAAUCUCCGCUUUGACAAUUUCCCUUUUUUUCUCUGCCACGCGUCGGGCUCAGAAAGGUCCAACGACCGGGUGCUGGAUUACCGGCUUCGCCAACCCGCGAGACUUCACAGCCGGCCUGGGCUUACCGAGAUGCAAAGCCUCCUGCGGUCCUAGACUGGACGUGGGCAGAGGGCUGAGGGCCUGGGCCAGAGCCACUUCCGGCUUGGCGCCCUCAGUCCUCUCGUCUCGUUGCUGGCUGGAGACUCCGGGACCCCGAACCCAGCAGGCACCUACGACCCCUGCACUGGAGCUCGGUGGCCGCCUGCGGUCCUCCCGCCGGCCGGCGCUCUAGCACCUUCCAAGCCUUGGAGCAGGGCCUGACGGUGCUGCCAGGGAGAGCCGGGCGCGGGGGCGGGAACGGCCUGGAAGGAGAGCUCAGUCCUCUUCCGGGGGGAGCCAGGGAGACUGAGAUACGGAGUGAAUGCGAGUGUUCCACGUUCUUUGCUAAACGUUGAGGAACAAGCGGUGAAAAGGCCAGAAAAGAUCUUUGCCCUCUCGGGGUUCCGGUCUAGUGAGGGAGACCGACAUGCAGAUAAGUGACACAAACAUUCAUUUCAAGUAGUGACAAGUAUCAGAAAGAAAGGAACGGGUGAAACAAUAUUAGGAACGGAUUGUCAGAAAGGGCCUCUUCAAGGAGGGAAGUUUUAAACUGAGACUUGGAAAAGACAAGAAGCCAUUUUACUAGGAUUUGGGGGCAGAACUUCAUGCACAGGAAACAGAAUGAAUAAAGGCCCGGCCACCAGGAAGAGACUGAAAUGACACCUCUCUUGGGAGGGAAGGUAGGAGAUGACUGCAGGAGGGGAGGCUAGAAGGUGGCAGUGCCCAGGACUGUGGUCCGAAGUUUCUCCUUGGCGUGUGGCAGAGGGUGGAGAAAGGAGGUUAUGAGGAUCGUUCACCCUUCCUCCUCUGGCCGUCGUGUGGCACGUGGUCAGACACGAUCCCUUGCCUGGGUUGUAAAGACAGCACUCUGUGGCCUGCACCUCUGUCACCUCCUAGAGCACCUGUUUUUCUCUUCUCAACUAACAAAGUUCUGGACUAGUCAUGAAGAUUAGUACUACAGUCCCCACAGGCCACUGACCAGAACAAGUUUGGCUCAAAUCUUAAGGAGAAAAUGGAAAAAAGGCCUGGAGGGCCUAAAUCCUGCACCCUCUUAAGUACCCCACACUCCUGUGGGCAUGCCCAGGUGACAGGUUCCUGGCGAUGCUGAACUCCCUGGGACUAAACCACUCUUUACUGAGCACUUCUUGUGUGUUAAAAGUUAGUGCUGGGCUAAGUGGUCUUACAUAUAUAUUCUCUUACUUAUUUAAUCCUUUCACAAUCUUAGGAGGUAGUGAAUCAGGAUUCAGUUCAACUACGAAUAACGGAUCCAAAAGAGCAGGAUCUUAACCAAGAUGUAAGUGUAUUUCUCACGAUAACAUGCGCAGGUGGGCUGGAGGUAGUCAGCCUACGUCAGGACAAGUGUGGCGGCCCUAGCCUGCAGAGCCAGCACGGACCCAGGCAGGCCCUCGUCUCACCGUCCCAAAACAAGGAGUCUCAUCUCACCGCCAGUAAAGUCUCCUCUCACCAUCCCAAAACAAGGAGUAGCAUUGAACCAUACGUGCUCAUGUUUAAAUGUUUUUAUGUAUGUUUUUGAAAGACAGCACGCAAGUGGGGGUGGGGCAGAGAGGGAGGGAGACAGGGUCCGAAGUGGGCUGUGCACCGAUAGCAGAGAACCUGAUGCCAGGCUCGAAACCACCAGCCGUGAGAUCGUGACCUGAACUGGAGGCAGACACUUAACCGUCUGAGGCACCCAGGAGCCCCAGUACAUGCUAAUUUAAACAUUUUUUUAUCAAAUGGGAAUACCAUGUACAAAUUGCAGAUGAAAGGAAUGAUUUCCUAGAGAAACUUUAAAAACUGUCAAAAUUGAGGCAGGAAGACAUGGAAAUUCUGAAUAGCCAGUAUCCUAUAGGGGAAAUAAUAAAAAUAAAUAUUUGUAUUUGUAUCUCUUUAA
Long non-coding RNA from Lynx canadensis (Canada lynx), 2030 nucleotides. RefSeq lists it as uncharacterized. The transcript has 2 exons. NCBI's taxonomy places the organism in Eukaryota, Metazoa, Chordata, Mammalia, Carnivora, Felidae. The record is from RefSeq and is a predicted model, not a curated record.